This 202-nucleotide ribosomal RNA is filed under the name uncultured bacterium. RNAcentral describes it as "partial 16S ribosomal RNA". It matches the Rfam family "Bacterial small subunit ribosomal RNA", at positions 1299 to 1500 of the family's 1533-position model. The record is from RNAcentral.
CGCAGGCUGCAACCCGCCUGCGUGAAGUCGGAAUCGCUAGUAAUCGCGGAUCAGCAUGCCGCGGUGAAUACGUUCCCGGGCCUUGUACACACCGCCCGUCACACCAUGAGAGUCGGGAACACCCGAAGUCCGUAGCCUAACCGCAAGGAGGGCGCGGCCGAAGGUGGGUUCGAUAAUUGGGGUGAAGUCGUAACAAGGUAAC